GACGAACGCUGGCGGCGUGCUUAACACAUGCAAGUCGAGCGAUGAAACACCUUCGGGUGCGGAUUAGCGGCGAACGGGUGAGGAACACGUGAGGAAUCUGCCUUCCACUCUGGGAUAACUCCGGGAAACCGGGGCUAAUACCGGAUACUUUCAACUGGCGGCAUCGCCGGUUGAAGAAUGUUUUGCGGUGGAAGAUGACCUCGCGGCCGAUCAGCUUGUUGGUGAGGUAAAGGCUCACCCAGGCGACGACGGGUAGCCGGCCUGAGAGGGCGACCGGCCACACUGGGACUGAGACACGGCCCAGACUCCUACGGGAGGCAGCAGUGGGGAAUAUUGGGCAAUGGAGGAAACUCUGACCCAGCGACGCCGCGUGAGGGAUGAAGGCCUUCGGGUUGUAAACCUCUUUCAGCAGGGAAUAAGCGAAAGUGAAGGUACCUGCAGAAGAAGCACCGGCUAACUAUGUGCCAGCAGCCGCGGUAA
Molecule: ribosomal RNA, 480 nt
Filed under: uncultured bacterium
Lineage: Bacteria
Description: partial 16S ribosomal RNA
Rfam family: Bacterial small subunit ribosomal RNA
Source: RNAcentral